This 1478-nucleotide long non-coding RNA is filed under the name Salvator merianae (Argentine black and white tegu). Its description in RNAcentral is "lncRNA (ENSSMRG00000000398.1)". Lineage: Eukaryota; Metazoa; Chordata; Lepidosauria; Squamata; Teiidae. The record is from RNAcentral.
GCGGGAUCCUGUGGGUCCUGCCGGGCGGAGGGAGAGCGAGCAAGUCACGCGGCGAGCAGGCGUCCUCCUGGGUUGUGCGCUAAUCUUCUUGUUUGGGCUGCCCCCAGGGACGCGGUGGGGCGGGCGAGGAGUCGCGCCGGAUCAGUAGUCCCUGCAAGCCCGCCUUGCCAGCUGCUCCUGCAGGAGGCCCUGUAGCCCCUGGCUGGCGGUGAGGAGACCUUGGGGCGCCCCCCGCCCCCGUGAACUGGCAGGGCUAGUAGGCGGAGAAGGAGGCGCCUCCCGGCAAAAUGGAUCCUAGUUGCUCAGGGCCUGAGACGUCCGAAGGGGAGCCGGCGUCUUGGCCCAGGAGCAGGAAGCUCUCGGCAGAUGAAUUUUCUGCUGAGUUGUUUUCUAGCCCUAACCCUCCUCUCUGUCUGUUGGGAAGUGGAACUGGUGCCCACUGCCCACCCGCCACUACCCACAGCAGCCGCAGGCUCCUCCGCCAGUGAAGGAAGGAGGAAAGAUGUGGCCGCCAGCUCAGCUCGGAUUGGUCAAAGGGAUCCCGCUGCUUCAGGGUUCUCCGCCCAUCCCGCUUCUUCUGGCCACCACUCCGCCUUGCCCAGGGAUCAUCGGAUCUGCUGCCCUGGGAACAUCUACUGCUUGCCAGCGUUUCUCUCCGCCGGCCCCCCUCCUCCCUCCCAGCUCUUUCCCUCUUGCACCGCGACUGAUGGAAAGGUCUGGGCACCAUGAGCUUCACAGGAAUCCAGAGGGGCUACCUCCGAAAAUACGGAGGCCGCCUCUUCAAGCAAUGGAAAGAGAAGUUCCUCAUCCUCUCGGCGGACGGGAGCCUGCUCAUCUGCCCGGAUGCCGACUCCCCCGCGGAGGAGGGCGUCUCCCUGGGCACCGGCUGCCAGGCGAUCCUGGAAGGCAGCGAGAUCGGCGACCUCCCGCACAUCCCUCCGGGCCUGCGGCGGGACAGCUGCCUCGGGCUGCGGCUCACCAACGGGAAGAGCCUGCUGCUCCUCGCGCCCAGCAGCCGCGAGUGCCGGCAUUGGCUCAGCGUCUUAAGGAAAGUCAAAGAGAGCUGCUGCCAGGGGUCUCCGUCCCGCUGUAAGCGGCACAUCGGCUCGCCCGUGAGGAAACCUUCCGGGGCAGGUGGCAACCGUGCUGCCCCCCCCAGGGCAGGGAGGCACGAAGCUGCCCGCCCCAGCCCAUGCCGGGAAGUGUGCUCCCCGCACUGCCUCCGCCACGGCUCCCCGGCACCUGCGAGAGUAAAGGCGGCCUGCCUCUUGGUGGGCGGUGCGGCCGCCGGUCCCACCAUGGGGUACAUGGUCACCUCGGCCUCAGCAGGAGACCCCAGGGCGCCACACCUGCCAGACUUCAAAGACCUGGGCUACCACCCCUCCGCCUGUGAGGCUGAACCCCAGUACGAAGCCCUGGAUUACGAAGGGAUGGAGCAAGAUUUUGACCUGCUGGAUGUGGGGGGCUUCGCCUUCUAA